AGUGAACGCUGGCGGUAGGCCUAACACAUGCAAGUCGAACGGCAGCACAGUAAGAGCUUGCUCUUACGGGUGGCGAGUGGCGGACGGGUGUGGAAUACAUCAGAAUCUACUUUUUCGUGGGGGAUAACGUAGGGAAACUUACGCUAAUACCGCAUACGACCUACGGGUGAAAGCAGGGGAUCUUCGGACCUUGCGCGAUUGAAUGAGCCGAUGUCGGAUUAGCUAGUUGGCGGGGUAAAGGCCCACCAAGGCGACGAUCCGUAGCUGGUCUGAGAGGAUGAUCAACCACACUGGAACUGAGACACGGUCCAGACUCCUACGGGAGGCAGCAGUGGGGAAUAUUGGACAAUGGGCGCAAGCCUGAUCCAGCCAUACCGCGUGGGUGAAGAAGGCCUUCGGGUUGUAAAGCCCUUUUGUUGGGAAAGAGAAGCAGCAGGUUAAUACCCCGCUGUUCUGACGGUACCCAAAGAAUAAGCACCGGCUAACUUCGUG
RNAcentral lists this ribosomal RNA (492 nucleotides) under uncultured bacterium. RNAcentral describes it as "partial 16S ribosomal RNA". It matches the Rfam family "Bacterial small subunit ribosomal RNA", at positions 29 to 507 of the family's 1533-position model. The record is from RNAcentral.